Molecule: ribosomal RNA, 407 nt
Filed under: uncultured bacterium
Lineage: Bacteria
Description: partial 16S ribosomal RNA
Rfam family: Bacterial small subunit ribosomal RNA
Source: RNAcentral
AUUGAACGCUGGCGGCAGGCCUAACACAUGCAAGUCGAGCGGCGCGGCGGACGGGUGAGUAAUGCCUAGGAAUCUGCCUGGUAGUGGGGGAUACCUUCCGGAAACGGGCGCUAAUACCGCAUGCUAUCAGAUGAGCCUCGGUCGGAUUAGCUAGUUGGUGGGGUAAAGGCCUACCAAGGCGACGAUCCGUAACUGGUCUGAGAGGAUGAUCAGUCACACUGGAACUGAGACACGGCCCAGACUCCUACGGGAGGCAGCAGUAGGGAAUAUUGGACAAUGGGCGAAAGCCUGACCCAGCCAUGCCGCGUGUGUGAAGAAGGUCUUCGGAUUGUAAAGCACUUUAAGUUGGGAGGCGUUACCAACAGAAUAAGCACCGGCUAACUUCGUGCCAGCAGCCGCGGUAAUAC